This 85-nucleotide ribosomal RNA is filed under the name Ricinus communis (castor bean). Lineage: Eukaryota; Viridiplantae; Streptophyta; Magnoliopsida; Malpighiales; Euphorbiaceae. The record is from RNAcentral.
CCAUCAGAACUCCUAAGUUAAACGUGCUUGGGCGAGAGUAGUACUAAGAUGGGUGACAUCUUGGGAAGUCCUCGUGUUGCACCCC